This 253-nucleotide ribosomal RNA is filed under the name uncultured bacterium. RNAcentral describes it as "partial 16S ribosomal RNA". It matches the Rfam family "Bacterial small subunit ribosomal RNA", at positions 524 to 776 of the family's 1533-position model. The record is from RNAcentral.
UACGGAGGGUGCAAACGUUGCUCGGAAUCAUUGGCCGUAAAGCGCACGUAGGCGGCCCGCAAAGUCGGAUGUGAAAUCCCUCGGCUCAACCGAGGACGUGCAUUCGAUACUGGCGGGCUUGAAUAUGGAAGAGGGUCGCGGAAUUCCCGGUGUAGAGGUGAAAUUCGUAGAUAUCGGGAGGAACACCAGUGGCGAAGGCGGCGACCUGGGCCAAUAUUGACGCUGAGGUGCGAAAGCGUGGGGAGCAAACAGG